AUUGAACGCUGGCGGCAGGCCUAACACAUGCAAGUCGGGCGAGUGGCGGACGGGUGAGUAAUGUAUGGGGAUCUGCCUGAUGGAGGGGGAUAACUACUGGAAACGGUAGCUAAUACCGCAUACCAUCAGAUGAACCCAUAUGGGAUUAGCUAGUAGGUGAGGUAACGGCUCACCUAGGCGACGAUCCCUAGCUGGUCUGAGAGGAUGAUCAGCCAAACUGGGACGGAGACACGGCCCAGAAUCCUACGGGAGGCAGCAGUGGGGAAUAUUGAACAAUGGGCGAAAGCCUGAGGCAGCCAUGCAGCGUGUAUGAAGAAGGUCUUCGGGUUGUAAAGCACUUUAAGUUGGGAGGCGUUACCAACAGAAGAAGCACCGGCUAACUUCGUGCCAGCAGCCGCGGUAAUUC
Molecule: ribosomal RNA, 406 nt
Filed under: uncultured bacterium
Lineage: Bacteria
Description: partial 16S ribosomal RNA
Rfam family: Bacterial small subunit ribosomal RNA
Source: RNAcentral